Molecule: ribosomal RNA, 468 nt
Filed under: uncultured bacterium
Lineage: Bacteria
Description: partial 16S ribosomal RNA
Rfam family: Bacterial small subunit ribosomal RNA
Source: RNAcentral
GACGAACGCUGGCGGCGUGCUUAACACAUGCAAGUCGAACGGAAAGGCCCUGCGUUUGUUGGGUGCUCGAGUGGCGAACGGGUGAGUAACACGUGAGUAACCUGCCCUUGACUGUGGGAUAACUUCAGGAAACUGGGGCUAAUAUCGGAUAUGAGCUCCUGCUGCAUGUUGGGGGUUGGAAAGUUUCGGCGGUUGGGGAUGGACUCGCGGCUUAUCAGCUUGAUGGUGGAGUAGUUGCUUACCACGGCUUUGACGGGUAGCCGGCCUGAGAGGGUGAACGGGCACAUUGGGACUGAGAUACGGACCAGAAUGCUACGGGAGGCAGCAGUGGGGAAUAUUGCACAAUGGGCGGAAGCGUGAUGCAGAAACGCCGCGUGCGGGAUGACGGCCUUCGGGUUGUAAACCGCUUUCGCCUGUGACGAAGCGUGAGUGACGGUAAUGGGUAAAGAAGCACCGGCUAACUACGUG